UCCAUUAAGUUCCUCUUAAGCAAAGAGAAUUGUAGUUCAGUGCAAUGUAGGUGACAAAUGUGCAGUUUUAUUAUGUGCGUUAUUGCCAGACAAGAUGAAAUCAUCAGCUUGAAUCUUCAAUUUGACGCGGAAGAUGCAGUGACUUGUUCAGUGCUUGGACCUCGAAGUGUUCACCUUACUGGGUUCUAUUGUGGGAGUGGUAAUGGUGAAGGAGACAGUGAUGAUUCGCAGCCGUUAUGUCAUGAGUUUAAGGAUAAACUAUAUAUUCUGCUAACGUCUUGAUACGUUAUUUGCUUCAAUUAUUGUUUGGCUUAAACCUUUUUUUUUUUGUUAAAAGUGAUUCUUAUGGAGAGGAUACUGUUGAAACUGAUAACGAGGCCGAUCAGUCUGCUGAUAGUUUAGAGGAAGAUAAAUUUGAUGACUUUAUAAAUGUCUUCACCAUCAAAAGGCCGUACGAGCGAAGUGAUAAUUGAGGAGACAGAUGAUGACAAAAAACCUGCAAAUAUGAAAGGGAACGGCAAACGCUCUAAGGAAAAUUACCUAGUAAGCGACUCAGAUGUCGAUGAUGAAGAGAUUAUUGUCAAGGAUCAUUUUUUUAUGCCGAUGAUGAAGAGAUUGUUGUCCAGGAUAAUUUUGGAAACCUUGCAGCGAGAGUUGGAAGGUUUCCGAGAAUGAUCCUAUUUCUGAGUUGUCCAAGAAAAAAGCCAUGACUGGGAGUAAAGAAGAAGCUGACUGUAAUUCUGAAAUACAACUAGCUAAGGAAAGCAAGAAGGGUAGUGGCAGCAGUGAGCCUGGCACAUUAAGAAAAUUGAACCAGGAUAGCCAUGUUCAAGAGUCAGCAAAGCAAAACAGAUAUCUGAACCACCUUAAGAUUCCUCUAUGCCGUCAACUAAUAUUGGGUAAGAAAGCAAUGUAUGAUGUAGAUGGGGAUGCAAAGACUGAACAAAUCAUGAUCGUGUUGGACUCAAGCCUAAGGAGGAGCAACCUACUGCCAUUCAAUCUAAAGAUUCAUCUGUGCCAUCUACUGAUAUCACGCUAGGAAGUGAUGUUGAGCCCAAAAACAUGGAUAUUGCUUAGGAGUUACACCUGAGGAGCAACCUAGUGAUAAGUUGUUUGAUCCAUCUAAAAAUCAUCUGUGCCAUUUUGGCUGAUAUUGGAAAUAGAAGGGAUCUUGGAGGUGAUGCAGAUGCUAAGACUUGAAGCCAUCGAUCAGGAUCAUGUUGAAGUCAAACCAGUGGGUUUGCAACUUACUGCUAAGUGGGACUUGAUCCGCCUACAUUAACCUUCUUUGUAUGUAUUGCAUGCUAGAGAGUGAUGCCACACCUAAAAAAAGCAUAGAAGGAAUCAUGGUGAAGAUGGAGAUGCAAAGACUAAAAACAUGGAUCAGGAUGUUGCUGGAGUCGAACCUGAAAAGGAGCAACCUACUGACAAGUUGUUUGAAGUUUGAACCAUCUAAGGAUUCGCCUGUACCCUCUAAUAAUAUUGGGUUACAAAGUGACAUUAAGCCCAAGAAGAAAAUCAGUAGGAAACGUGGUGAGGAUGGCGAUGCAAAGAAUGGAAACAUGGACCAGGAUCCUGUUGCAAAACCAGGAAGAAGCAGCCGAAUGACUAAGCUUUGAAAGAUGGAUGGGAAGUGGGGCUGCAAGAGAAGGACAGAACAAGCAAGCUAAAGAAACAAAAAAGGUUUUCACUAGGAAAGUUAGAACACCUUACAAAAGCUACCUAUUCUUGAAUCUGUUGUAAAGCUUCAUGAUAUGUCUCUUAUUUUGGAAGGGAAGGAGUAAUAUCCAUGAAGGAAAAUAAUAUACCCAAAUUCAAAUAGCU
This is a long non-coding RNA of Papaver somniferum (opium poppy), 1824 nucleotides long. RefSeq lists it as uncharacterized. NCBI's taxonomy places the organism in Eukaryota, Viridiplantae, Streptophyta, Magnoliopsida, Ranunculales, Papaveraceae. The record is from RefSeq and is a predicted model, not a curated record. The transcript has 8 exons.